Molecule: long non-coding RNA, 753 nt
Filed under: Amphimedon queenslandica
Lineage: Eukaryota; Metazoa; Porifera; Demospongiae; Haplosclerida; Niphatidae
Description: uncharacterized LOC109587380
Source: RNAcentral
AAGGGCCUGCCUGAAAUACGGAUCCACGCGGAUCAAAUGCGGAUCAGGCUGAAAUGCGGAUCAACGCGGAACGCUCGCGGAUCUGUAUUGAAGUACGGAACAACACGGAAACUAUACGGAUCUUUCUGCAAGAAUGAUAGCUAUGCAUCAGGAGAGAAAUUUAUCAGCUCUGUUUGAGUCUUUGAUAGGAACUUUAUCAUCCUUGCAGUUUCAGUACAUGCAGUUGAGAUCUACAGAUAAGCUGAUAUCCUCUUGAGCUAUUCUCUUCAACUUUUGUAAAGAUGCAACUAUUGCCUGUGAUAAUGAGAAAACAGACUACUACUAGAUCUAACUACUGAGCAGUCAACACACUCAACAUUAGCUCAGUGUGCCUUCAUGCAGUCAAAAGACAAGUCAAGUUAUUUUAAAAUGCUAUCAUGGCUGUACCCCCCAAGUUCAACAUAGAUGGCAAAGUGGACCAUUGUCUGGGAAUUCCAGUCUUUGUUUUUUUUACUUUAUCACUGUUAUUUUCUAAUUAUUAUUAUUCAUUCUGCAUGACUUAUAGAAUUAUUACAUUUUUAAUCUUUAUUAUCAUUAUUCAGCUAACUACUAUUAUUAUUUAUUCAUUCCAUCAAUCAUUCACAGUCGUAGUCUCUUAAAAUUUUACUAUUAGCUAUUGUUACUCAUUCAUCAUUUUUGUUUAUUGAUUUAAUCUCAUUGUAUUUCCCAAUUUCAGUGUACUAUGUGCUUUGGUUUUAUAAUUGCAAAAUCUAA